AAGAGGGGGAGGCACAUCAGAAGCUGAGGAUUAAGGGGAAGAGUGGGAUUUCAGAGGGGACGAGAAAGUGAAGGAAAGGAGGAACACAAAUGAAAGAAAGAAAAGAUGGAAGUCAGACAAUCAUUCUUAGUAACAAGCAGCCGGGACUCAGAAUUUGGAGCACACACUUGGCCAGUGAGGAGGUGAGAAGUCUGUGUGCGAGGAGGAAACGGCGCUGAGAGGCGCGAGGGGAAAAAGCUGCAUCUGGCCGCUAAUGAGGCGCUCUGAGGCAGCGGCGUUCUCAUCAGCCGUGUUUGUUUUCUCAGGCCGCUCCGGGUCGGCUCGCCGAUUGUUUUCCUUGCU
This is a long non-coding RNA of Hemibagrus wyckioides, 342 nucleotides long. RefSeq lists it as uncharacterized. The transcript is spliced from 3 exons. The record is from RefSeq and is a predicted model, not a curated record. NCBI's taxonomy places the organism in Eukaryota, Metazoa, Chordata, Actinopteri, Siluriformes, Bagridae.